RNAcentral lists this ribosomal RNA (429 nucleotides) under Acidobacteriota bacterium. Its description in RNAcentral is "Acidobacteria bacterium partial 16S ribosomal RNA". It matches the Rfam family "Bacterial small subunit ribosomal RNA", at positions 355 to 776 of the family's 1533-position model. The record is from RNAcentral. Lineage: Bacteria; Pseudomonadati; Acidobacteriota.
UGGGGAAUUUUGGACAAUGGGGGAAACCCUGAUCCAGCCAUCCCGCGUGUUCGAUGAAGGCCUUCGGGUUGUAAAGCACUUUUGGCAGGAAAGAAACGUCAUGGGUUAAUACCCCGUGAAACUGACGGUACCUGCAGAAUAAGCACCGGCUAACUACGUGCCAGCAGCCGCGGUAAUACGUAGGGUGCAAGCGUUAAGCGGAAUUACUGGGCGUAAAGCGUGCGCAGGCGGUUCGGAAAGAAAGAUGUGAAAUCCCAGAGCUCAACUUUGGAACUGCAUUUUUAACUACCGGGCUAGAGUGUGUCAGAGGGAGGUGGAAUUCCGCGUGUAGCAGUGAAAUGCGUAGAUAUGCGGAGGAACACCGAUGGCGAAGGCAGCCUCCUGGGAUAACACUGACGCUCAUGCACGAAAGCGUGGGGAGCAAACAGG